CUAACGAUUGCUGGACACAAAACUGCCACCAACCAGCUCAUUCAGGUCUUUUCCCGUCAUGCCUUCCCCAUAAAAAGAAAUGCAUUAACUUCUGGGUCAGGCUCUGCCCCGGUUUUUGACCUGAUCACUGCUGGCUGCAGCCGGAGCGUGGCCUCUCCAGGCCUGCAGCCUCGCUGCCAGGAGGUCCCUGGCCCACACAGGCUCUCCCCGAGGAUCCUGCAGCCAGCAAGCCACUUGCAGACUGAAAACACGUGGCCACAGCUGAGGUGCAAGCUGAAGGAGGUAUUGUGAGACACUGCAGCCAAAACUCCAUCUUGAUAACAUUUUUAUAGGGGUGAAACUACAAAGAGUAACUCAGCAGUUGCCAGCACGGCUGUGUUAGUAUGAGAGAAUAGCCAGAAGCAUGCAUGCCCAUCUACAUGACUGGCCACUCAGCUCCUUUGAAUCACAAAUGAGCCUCGAUGCACUGAUGCUUCACUGAACUGCAUACAUCUGUGUGUACAGAUAUUUUGGGACAGAGAGCCUGCCAAACACCUGCGGGACACCAGCAUCAUACAGAUUCAGAAGUAAGAGCAUAUCCUGCGGACUGUGGUACAGGAUAUCACUUUGUCAGGUAGCUACUUACAAAUGCACAUUCUACUUACCAGAAAAUGUUCAUGAUGGCAGGCAGCUCUACCUGGACACUGUUGCAUUUAGAGUUGGAUUAAGCUGUCCAAUAUAGUUAUUUAUCUAGAUUUGUUUUUAUCCAAUGGGGAAAAACAACCACAGUUAAAAUAAUGUGUUAAAUAAUGUAUUAAAUAAUACAUGCUUACAUCCCCGCUGAGGACAGGUAUAAUCUCCAUUCUGCAGAAAGUUUUGGUACAAACCCCGUGAGGACAGGGAAAGGAAGAACCAGAACAGGGAAAGAAGGGCAUCUUUUCCAGGAGCACACAAUCAGAUGUUAUGUGGCUCCACACCUCUGCUCUACUGCAUGGGCCAUCCCUGACCUGACACCAGGUGUUGUGUGGCUCAGGCUGGGAGAACCAUGACCAUGAAGAUUCCUACACCAAGCAAGACAAGGGUGCAGUGCCCGGGCUCUCUCUGCAUCUCCUUCAGUACCUGGCGCUGCAGUCUGGCUCACCCUCAACUUGCCAGUUUGGCAGGAGCAGUGGAGUUCACUGAAAACGUUAUUUGUAGCAGGAAUAUUUCCAUGCAUCAUGCCAGAAUCCAACAAUGCUCUCUCAAAAUAAUGCUGUCUAGUAAAAUCAACCAGCUGAAAGGCAUUUUGCACAGUAUCAAAAAUGUAAAUAGAGUGGACAGUUGGCUGUUUACUAUGCAUUUGUAUGAAUAUGUAGUCACUGGGCAAAUCCAAAACACACACGUCCUUCAGAAAAUAAACCAGAUGCAUUUAAAAAUGAUUUAUGUUGAAAUAGCUGUUCUGUACAAGUAUAGUGCUAUUGCUUUACAGGAACCGAUCAGAAAGUAGAAGGUGCCUGUAUUCUCAUAAUGGUAUUAAGACUCUGUGCUUAGUAGUACACACUUCUUAUUCAUAGGAAGAGUCCCCACUGAAGCUAGCAAGACUAAGUCCUCCAGGAUCAAGCCCUCAAUUUGUGCAUUAACAAAGUACUUCAGCCUCCAGUAUUUUUAAUCUUCCAUAACUAAAAAUUUCCCAAUAUCACAAAUACUUUAUGGAAAAUAAAUAUUUAGACAAGAUAAUGUAUAUUAAUGUAGAACCUAUUUAACAUUGAUUCUUUCUUUCCAUUACAACUCGUAUAACACCAUGGGCUGAUUAGAUCAGCCCGCAUACACUUCAGCAAGGCUUGCAAGCAUCUGAUUUAACCUCAGGGUACUAACUUCUAAAAUUGUAACAUUUGGGAAUUAUUAAAUUUAAAUAAAAUGCUUUCAAUUUUCUAUUCAUCGUUCAACCCUUCAUUUCAAAAGACAAAGUAGCCUGAAUCACAAAAUAAUAAUAAAGAAGAUGCUCCAGAAGUAUGGUCAGAGAACUUUUUCUUGCACCUAGGACUUAAGAAGCUGCAGCCUGAACAGCCAGGGAAGUGGGGACAACAGCUGAGCCUUUUAUCCACUGAGCAUUUCAAGGGGCUGGAGGUACUCUGCAACAAGCUGCCCCUCCAGUGAGGAUGCAUGCCUGGCCACAUGAUUAAUAUGAGGAUGUCUGUCGAGAGUGUGUGAAAGAAUGGACAAAACAACAUUUCGGCACCAAAACGACCAAACCGGAACUUUGAUCCACUUUGCAAUGAUCCCCUUGCAAGAGAGCAGACCUGUGCCCUGCAGGUCCAGAGGCCAACUGUGAGUGAUCCACUCCUCACCAUUGAAAGCCACCUUGUCAUCCAGGAGACAGAGAUGCUCAAGGCCUUGCCAGGAUGCCAUAGUGCCUCCCUGACCUAUGAGUACCACGUGGGCAAUCCCAGAGGCAGCAGGAUAGAGGUGUCUGACCCCUGCCCUUUCCUCCCUGCAGCUCCAGCUGGGCUCACCGUGGAAGCUGGCAGAACUCCCCUGGAAUUGGGAUGCCUUUUGCUGCAAAGAACAGGAAGCCAAGGGUCAUAUAACGUGGAAAACCCUCAGCCAGUGCCCUGAGGCUAAAUGUCUUGGAGCCAGAAGCCCGGAUAUAAAAGCCAAAGAAGCCUUUGAGCCCAGAAAAGGAUUAAAUGGAUUUACUGGGUCCAGAGAAAAGCCAAGCAGAAACAAGGAAAAAAUACACUUUCUUGUUCUCUUCAGCUCACUGCUAUUCAAGAGAGAAGAAAUAUGAGUUACAAUGAACUGAGAAAGGUUUUUUGUCUCUGUGUGUGAAAGGAAAAAACCAUAUAUAUUAUUUGUGCUUAUUUUAUGUUGUUCAAUAAACCAGCCUGGGAAAGGAAUAGACAUAUAGAUUUCUGUAUGUUCAUGGGGUGGUGAAAAAGGGAAAUGGAAGCAGCCGGUACAGUGCUUAACCUACGAGUUGCAUGCUGGUUUUGGAAAAAUAGUUAUUUCAGAUUGUCAGUGGCCAUUUUCUGACAUGCUGCAUUUGGGUAAAGGCUGUCUGUGCUGUAGCCAUGUUACUUGAGAACCACAGAACUUCCUACAUCCUGAUUAUGGCUGCAACAUUGCGUGUGUUAACAGAUGCAGCAUGAAUAGCUCUUCUGUUUCUCUUACAAUCUCUGUGUUUUUUAAACAUCAAUGAAAUGUCCAUGAUCCACAGCACUUCUUAAAAGAUUCACCUUUGAAAUCAGUGUGUGUAUGCAGGCAUCCUCUUUAUUUAUAUUUGUAUUUAGCUUGCACUCUUUUAAUAUUCUAAGUCUGCU
Anas platyrhynchos (mallard) is the source of this 3278-nucleotide non-coding RNA. The record is from RefSeq and is a predicted model, not a curated record. NCBI's taxonomy places the organism in Eukaryota, Metazoa, Chordata, Aves, Anseriformes, Anatidae.